AGUUGUCAUAAAGCUUGUUUGGAAAAUAUCGGGACAGUAAGAUGCAGCAGGCACCGAGGGUGCAACAACAUGUAUCCGCUCCAGUGCCAACUGGAGAUCACCAGAUGAUAAGGAGGAGACAGGGCUGUAGAAACUGGACUCAAUAUGCAGUGCAAUGGGAAAUCAAUUAACGUAUUAACUUUGGAGUUGUUACACUAAAGCGUUUAAUACAGACCUCCCUAUUUUGCAUAGCUUUGACAGUGAUGAGUGGGUUCUGGCUAUGCAUGAAGAAAUUGGAAGCUGGUUAUCACCACAAUCAUGCAAUGGGACUGUUGCACUGGCUGCUGUGUUGCUUGUGCGAGGCUGAGCCGAGGGCUCCUGAGAUGAAAUUUCAGAAAGUGCCAAAUCCAGACAGGCUCUGUAUGAUUAACAAGGAUGCCUGCCUCACCACAGAGAUGUGCAGAAACUGCAGCAAUCACUCAGCAGGGCUGCUUGGAGAGACCAAGAGUCAGUGGUUAAGCUACUAGGUCUUGUCUCUUCUGCUUCCCAAGCCCUCCAGCCUGCUCCACAUUGGGACGUGUGAUGCCCAGCAUGUUGCAAUGGCCUACACUGCAGCUCUACUCUCUGGCUGUGUUACCUCCAGACCACCCAGCAAUCCCUGGCCCCUGCUUUAAAACCACUCCAUAAAGCCCAAUGUGGUUUCAGCCAGCAGUAUGCUAAGUGGUGAGCAGAAAGUGCACAGAAAUGCCCAGCGUUGUCAGCGCUUCCCUUGGCAUUGUGCUCGUGGUUCUGCUGCUGCUUCUGCCUGCCGUGGUCUCUGUGGGGAAAAAGGCAAAGUCUUGUUACAGCACUAGCUACUUGUGAUUUGCCUGUUGCCAUUGGCAGAGGAAGAUGAGCUUCAAAGCACAGCAUCGAAGGCACAGAUCCUCCCCCUAAAGCUCAGAGGAUAUCCAGUUGCCAGCCCAGCCCUGUUCUCUACCAAAACUCACAUGUCCCAACUCUGACUCUUCUCCAGUAUUUCUGUACUGCAGACCGGCUGUGCCCACUGCUAGAGAAGUGCUUCAUCCCAACUCCUCCCAGCUGAGAUAUCCAGAAACUGGCACACCAGAAAAUGGACAGAUUUGCCCUGAGCAUGAUUUUUCUCAUUUUGGCUCAGCUCCAUUAACGGAUUAAGCCAUGGUUUGUUAAGCAGUGGCUCCUGUGGAAGUUACGGUACAUUUUUGAGAACUGCUGCUUUAGACAGCAGCACAGCGUGAUGCACACAGAGCUGUCAGCUGCAUUCACCGUGAGGUCUGGCCUGAGCUGGCAUCACAGGGCGCCUGUGCUGGCCAGUGCUUAUUUGUUUUACAACUACUUGCUGUAAAACUGAAAUUAUUGCUUGGGAGAGGCUCAGUUUCUUUUUUAUUAUUAUUUUUUCAUUUGUUGCGCUUGUUCCAGAGUAGCAUUGCCCAUGAUAAAACAGUGCUUGGUUUAGCUUCUGUAACUUGUUGUGGAGGGAAAAGUUUUCACAAGCACUAAAGAUCUUCUGAGUCACCCUGAGGUGAACCCUAUAUUCCUGUGACUUGGAAAGCCCCCUCUGAAACACAGUGUGGUUAGAUCACUGUCUCAUGUGAUGCUGGAGACUGUGCUUUUAUGUUUCAGCUUUGUCCAAAUUGGAAUUUAAGGAUAGGCUCUUGCAGUGUGUGUGAGCUGAGGGCAGGCAGCUGGAGCUGCAAGACCAACAAGGAGCAUCUCUGCCCCAUCUCUGCAAUGACUGCUAACACCCACCUGGGGGACUGGCUUCAAUGGCACUGAAGUCAUACAGCUCCUUUUUUGCUUUUCUCUUACUCAAUCUAGGCUACAUGGGCUUUAGGCAUAAGGGAAAAUUUAGGAGUGGUAUUCUCAGGAUCAGAAAAGAUGUGAUUUUUCCAUAUCUUAAUCUCAGCUACAACUAGUCAGUAGUUUUCUAGUGAAAACUGAAACUUUUUGAUGGAAGAAAAGAGUUGCAGAGCAGAGGUGGGAUCUGCUUUAGCAGGGGGUCUGGUGGGGAGCUGAGGGCUGGGCAUGGGGCUGGGGACCACGGGGGCUCAUGCAACAGCACUCAGAGCACUGCAGUCAUGGCAGUGAGUGAGGGGGCUGUGCUAAAGGUUGGAAGCUCACACAGUGCAUUCCUUUUGUAAGUCUUGCUUCUGCAUCUUGAGGAAUUAAAUUAGCAUGUAAGCCAUUGCUAUGUGUUUGUGCCGAAACUCUACAGUGGAAAUGUUCUGACCUGGGAGAGCUCAAGUACUCAUUUUUCUUAAAAGCUUUUGUGAGAGAUAUAAAACUGUAGCUUAUUUCUUGUUGUAUAUCUAAGAGGUUUUACAAGAGAGUUAAAAAUGAAGAACAAGAGAAUUUAAAGAAAUAGGACCUCCAUUCUGACUGAUUAAAGAUAGGAUACAGCUGCAUUUUCACUUCUUCAAUUUUUCUGACAUUUAGAAUAGCAGAGUGAAAAAAAAAAAAUGCAAGGAUCUUUUCAAUCCAUUGAAAAAUAUCUUUCUGAUGUCUUACCAGGGUAGUGAAAAAUGUUCCAAGACAGUAUAGACAUAUACAAACGUGUAUAUAUAUAUGUAUGUCUUUAUUAGAGGCAAUUCUGAAGAAAACAAUAUGAAUACAGAACAAUGGCACAAAUCCAUUAAAGAAUGCAAGUGCCAAGAGGCUGCUUUUGUGUUGAAUAAAAGUUCAUGAAACCUAAGGUUGCUUCCAAAUAGAGAACUAACCUGGGAGUUUGGAUUUAACACUGACUGGACCUGUCACAUUUCCCAUUAAUGAGCCUUAGCUCUGAAGAAAAGGAGGGAAGGAAAAUGGUCGGUGUGAUAAGCUGUACAAAGCAGUAAUUGGAUCAAGCUGAGACAUUGGUGGCCUUUAAGAGCAGCAGAAGUGACUAGUUAGGGGGUUGGCAUAUGGAAAUUUCUUUUCUCUAUUCAAUUUUCUCAAUACAGUUUUUAUCUUCAAAUUAGGAUAGGCAGAAUAAUCAGUUUGUGGACUCUGGGAACGUUACACAUUUUACUUCUCAACAUGGUAGGACAUAAGUGGUUACACCUUUGCCGAAAGGAAGACCCUUCCAUGUUGAGAAAAUUUAUCACAGAACUUUGGGAACCAUCUUCUGUGUGGCUCAGUGGCUGUAAGAAAUCUUGGAGGAUUUGAAUUUUGGAGCAAAAUGCCUACAGGAGGAGUUAGGUGAGGGCCAUACAGGUUUAAUCUUGGUAAGUCCAGAACCAUUGGGUGGAUCUAGACCUCAGUGCAAUACAUGAAGCAGAAAGAUUCUCUGUGGAUGUAUUCCAGCUCUUAUGAUGAGUUUACCGAGAGUAUCUCUAGGUAUAGUAGAAGCUCAUAUCAGUGUGAAUCCAAAUUUAAAUAAUGAUUAAUCUUUUUGAUGUGACUUUUGAUGUAACCCCACAUAAUGCUUCAUUUCAAUGUAACUGGAUUUCUGGAAUAAACUUUGUGUGUUAAAACAGGAUAAACUUCCUUUAUAAACAUGAAUAUGUGGGGUAGGCAUUCCAGGUUGGCCAAGACAGUGCGGUUCUGUCCUUGCUUAACUGCAGGCAUCAGUGUGCUCUCCUAGCAGUGCAGAUCAGGUACAAGUCAGUUAACAUAUGGAGGAUCAACAUCCUGUCCUGUCCUGUUCAUUUAAUCUUGUAGAGAAAAUGACCUUCAUUAAAGGUUUGAACUUGACAUUUACUUUUCCACUCACAAGGUACUUCUAAAGCUGUAUCCUGACUCUUGGCCCUACCUUUUGUAGCUCAGCAUCCAAAGGGCUACAGGCUGGCCACGCGGGGUAGCCUACCUCAUUAACACUAUGUCCUACAGGUUUUACAUUCUCAGAGAUUGAAUUUUCAUUUGGGAGAGAACAGAA
Cygnus olor (mute swan) is the source of this 3850-nucleotide long non-coding RNA. RefSeq lists it as uncharacterized. The record is from RefSeq and is a predicted model, not a curated record. Lineage: Eukaryota; Metazoa; Chordata; Aves; Anseriformes; Anatidae. The transcript has 6 exons.